RNAcentral lists this ribosomal RNA (316 nucleotides) under uncultured bacterium. RNAcentral describes it as "bacterial SSU rRNA". It matches the Rfam family "Bacterial small subunit ribosomal RNA", at positions 28 to 334 of the family's 1533-position model. The record is from RNAcentral.
GAUGAACGCUAGCGAUAGGCUUAACACAUGCAAGUCGAGGGGCAGCAUAUUCGAAGCUUGCUUUGAAUGAUGGCGACCGGCGCACGGGUGCGUAACGCGUAUGUAACCUGCCUGUCAGAAGGGAAUAACCCGGUGAAAGUCGGACUAAUACCCUAUAUGCGCACGAGAGGCGCCUGCCCUGGUGAGGAAAGAUUUAUCACUGACAGAUGGACAUGCGUCCCAUUAGCUUGUUGGUAGGGUAACGGCCUACCAAGGCAACGACGGGUAGGGGAACUGAGAGGUUUAUCCCCCACAUUGGUACUGAGACACGGACCAA